Molecule: long non-coding RNA, 515 nt
Organism: Lemur catta (Ring-tailed lemur)
Lineage: Eukaryota; Metazoa; Chordata; Mammalia; Primates; Lemuridae
Exons: 3
Source: RefSeq, a predicted model, not a curated record
GCCAGAGGCCCAAGCGUGGCCGAGCCGGAGGCAAGCAUGUGCCCUGGAGACCCGCCAGAGGGAGCCGGGUCUGCAGCGCACGCACGGCACGGCUUGGGUCCCAGCGCUGCCACCGAGGUGGUGUACAAACUUGGGCCAAUUUUCUCAACUUCUCUGGCCCUCAGCUUCAAAAUGAGCACGGGGGUCCUUGACACUUAUGCGUGAAAACUGGAACUUCGCUUCUAAAACCCUCUUGGUUCAUUCUGGACUUCAGAGAUUGUGCAAUAGAGCAGCCUGGCCCCAGCCUUGUCCUCAGCACCCUCCCUGGAUGUGAGGAAACCACCAUCAGGGACAGCUCAUAGUUUCAAAAAGGUAUAAUAGUGGCAUUUUUAAAGUCCAUAUUCUUCAAAGAAACAUACUGAAAUAUUCAGAUAUUGAUUGGAUGACCGGGACACGCUUCACCUAAUUCGGACAGGAAAGGGGAGAAGUUGCAACUGAAGAGCUGAAGAUAUUGGUCAUGAGCUGAUAAUUGAGGA